RNAcentral lists this ribosomal RNA (494 nucleotides) under uncultured bacterium. RNAcentral describes it as "bacterial SSU rRNA". It matches the Rfam family "Bacterial small subunit ribosomal RNA", at positions 899 to 1397 of the family's 1533-position model. The record is from RNAcentral.
ACUCAAAGGAAUAGACGGGGGCCCGCACAAGCAGUGGAGUAUGUGGUUUAAUUCGAAGCAACGCGAAGAACCUUACCAGGGCUUGACAUGGAGACGACGGCUACAGAGAUGUAGCUUUCUUCGGACGUCUCACACAGGUGGUGCAUGGUUGUCGUCAGCUCGUGUCGUGAGAUGUUGGGUUAAGUCCCGCAACGAGCGCAACCCCUAUCGUUAGUUGCCAUCAUUAAGUUGGGCACUCUAGCGAGACUGCCGGUGACAAAUCGGAGGAAGGUGGGGACGACGUCAAAUCAUCAUGCCCCUUAUGUCCUGGGCUACACACGUACUACAAUGGCCGUAACAACAGGAAGCGAAACAGUGAUGUGGAGCAAAUCCCCAAAUGCGGCCUCAGUUCGGAUUGCAGGCUGAAACUCGCCUGUAUGAAGUCGGAAUUGCUAGUAAUCGCGAAUCAGCAUGUCGCGGUGAAUACGUUCCCGGGCCUUGUACACACCGCCCGU